RNAcentral lists this long non-coding RNA (296 nucleotides) under Callithrix jacchus (white-tufted-ear marmoset). Its description in RNAcentral is "lncRNA (ENSCJAG00000078651.1)". The record is from RNAcentral. Lineage: Eukaryota; Metazoa; Chordata; Mammalia; Primates; Cebidae.
UGGAAACAUGUUUCCUCUUCAUUCCAUGCAGAGUUUACAGAAGAUGGGCUUCCACCUUCCAAAAGAGAAACCAGCUGAAGAUUCAGGGGGUACAUUUGCAGGUUUGCUACCCAAGUAGACUUCAUGAUCCUGAAGUUUGGAGUACAUCACCCAGAUACAGAGCAAAACAGGUACCAUCCCUUUUUCAUGUUGUGCCUUUCAUGACUCCCAAUAUUUAGUAGGCUCACAGUUGUCUACUUGAAAAUGUUCAUUAGUUGUAUUUAAGCUAUUAGGUACUCAAAAUACUAAAAAUCCAU